Bos indicus x Bos taurus (hybrid cattle) is the source of this 636-nucleotide long non-coding RNA. The record is from Ensembl. NCBI's taxonomy places the organism in Eukaryota, Metazoa, Chordata, Mammalia, Artiodactyla, Bovidae.
GCAGUUCUGAGCUCAAAGAGCUUUAUUUGGAACAUAGAAAAAGAGAAAAGCAGAUUUCUGAAAAUCACAGCCAUGACUCCUGUAAGAGGAAUGUGGAAUAUUUCUUUUACCUAUCACCCAGGGAGCCCAGCCUGGCAUUGCAUGUGUGUGUUUAGUGCUCUGUGAAGGAAGAGACAUCCAGCGACUCCCUUCAAGGGUCACGUGGACUGAACCCCUGGAUGUCAGUUGCAGUUCCUGUCCAAUCAAUCAGUGGAGUUCAGGAAUCAGAGGCACAUCUCCUUACCUGAGUGACUGUCAGCCCCACUUCGAAGCCCAAGUUCUGAUUGCAGUUUCCCCGUGUAUAUGGAGAGAAAGACAUAUUGAUUUUGGCACCUCUAGUCAAACGUCAUGGGAAGUAUGGUGUGCUUAGUUCUGUACUGAGUUCCUGCUUAACUCCCCAGGUUUUACCCAUGUAUGGCAACCCCAAAGCCCUGCAAACACGUUAAACACUAUAAAACCAAUGGGUUAAAGGCAACUGAGUUCAACCUAUUGGAAUGUGGCCAUAGCAUAGUAAAUCAUUUGUGUGAGCUUUACUUAUUAUAAAAUGACAAUAUAAUACUUAAUAAAUAUUUUAAAAGGAAAAUAUUCCUUAGAAUU